GACGAACGCUGGCGGCGCGCUUAACACAUGCAAGUCGAACGGAAAGGCCUGCUUUCCCUUGUGGAUUGCGGGUACUCGAGUGGCGAACGGGUGAGUAACACGUGAGUGAUCUGCCCCCAACUUGGGUAUAAGCCUGGGAAACUGGGUCUAAUUCCCGAUAGGACUGCAGGGUGGUGCCUGUGGUGGAAAACGAAUUUCUAGUGGUUGGGGAUGAGCUCGCGGCCUAUCAGCUUGUUGGUGGGGUAAUGGCCUACCAAGGCGGCGACGGGUAGCCGGCCUGAGAGGGUGGACGGCCACAUUGGGACUGAGAUACGGCCCAGACUCCUACGGGAGGCAGCAGUGGGGAAUAUUGCACAAUGGGCGGAAGCCUGAUGCAGCGACGCCGCGUGGGGGAUGACGGCCUUCGGGUUGUAAACUCCUUUCGACCGCGAGGAAGCCACCUGGUUGGAAGGGUGGUGACGGUAGUGGUAGAAGAAGCACCGGCUAACUACGUG
This 494-nucleotide ribosomal RNA is filed under the name uncultured bacterium. Its description in RNAcentral is "partial 16S ribosomal RNA". It matches the Rfam family "Bacterial small subunit ribosomal RNA", at positions 28 to 507 of the family's 1533-position model. The record is from RNAcentral.